CACAGACACUUGCUUGAAGCAGAACUAUCCCCAGAGCGACUGACACCUAUAAAAAUGUCAAUUGAUAUCUACCCCACACUCUUUCUAACAGAAAUUGGAUGGAUUCUGAGGCAUUAAGAAAUAAAUUAAGGAAUAUAUUAAAUAUCAGUACAUGGAUAUCCAGGAUACCUGGUGAAGGUCCGCUACAUAUUUUAAGAGUCAAACUUUUGCCUAUUAGUUAUUCUAACAGCUAAGUUCC
Non-coding RNA from Pelobates cultripes (western spadefoot toad), 238 nucleotides. The record is from the annotation of a GenBank genome assembly. Lineage: Eukaryota; Metazoa; Chordata; Amphibia; Anura; Pelobatidae.